Xenia sp. Carnegie-2017 is the source of this 531-nucleotide long non-coding RNA. RefSeq lists it as uncharacterized. The transcript is spliced from 3 exons. The record is from RefSeq and is a predicted model, not a curated record. NCBI's taxonomy places the organism in Eukaryota, Metazoa, Cnidaria, Anthozoa, Malacalcyonacea, Xeniidae.
UACGUUCAAGGAAUUAUCUGCUCGCUCAUUGAAUCGUUUGGCUUCAUCGACAGAGCUGACAAAGUGAACGAGGUAAAGAAGUUCCCCUCUCAGUGGAGCGUCUACCAGAAGGUACAGUGAAAUUUGAUGAUGUGAGCAAAGACACAUUUCAAGGCACCAUCGAGAAAGUACAUUGUCGGACAAAAAGACAGGAACCGUUAAAUGGUGUGAUAUUAUACAACACAAGCGAUGGUAGUUCACAGCAGCCAUAUUGGGAGAAAGAUGUCUUGGGGGAGUUCACCGUCUUGACUUGGGAUGUUGUUGGUUUUAAAAUUGCUACAGAUCGGCGUGAUUCUUUGCAACGGAAAUUCAUCUCAUCAAGGAAGUGGAAAGCAGCAAUGGAUGCAAUGUCAGAGAAAGAGUAAGUUUUAAUUCUCCUUUACAUUUUCUAGUGUUUAGACUGCGUCAUGAGGAAGCCAUUUCUCCAAAUUUAGCGGGAAAUUGUUUACCUUUAUCACUGUGAUGGCAAAUGUUAAUUGCUUUGAGUUAUGG